RNAcentral lists this long non-coding RNA (648 nucleotides) under Homo sapiens (human). RNAcentral's name for it is "HSALNT0359273". Lineage: Eukaryota; Metazoa; Chordata; Mammalia; Primates; Hominidae. The record is from RNAcentral.
CCACAGAAGCCAUGAGUAGUAGCAGGAGGCAAUUAUAAGUUUUGGCAAGUCCAAAAUAUGCGCUUUUUUCAAGUGGAGCAAGAUCAAAAGUAUAAUAUUAGUGUUUUAUUCAGUAGUUAUUCUGGUAAUUUAUUUCUUAUUUCUUAAACUGUGAAUUUAGUAUUUAGGACAAGUGCUAGGUUUUCAGCCUUAAAGAUUAAAUUCUUCAGGCUAAGGAUCUUCAGAUUUGUGUCCUUUGGAUGGAAGUAAAAAAAAUUGUGAUACUCAUAUGUCAGAAAAGUCCUCAUGCUUGAUUAUUUGUUAAAAGUUCUGAUUUCCUUCCUUUGCCUGUCUUUAGAAGUAAAACAGCUAAGACUCCAGUAUUGAUGAUGAUUUUGGGCAGCAAAGAUCUUCUUGGAAAAUGCUUGAUAGUUAUCAAGGUAAAUACCUUUGGGCCACUGCAUUUUUUUAAUGCAAUGAAGAUUUUUCACUGAAUCCUUCAUGCCACUUCAUAUCUAACCUACAGUGGCCCAAGUUACUACUUAACUGUAAUUGGGCUACAACUUGGGCCACUGUAGGUUGGAUAUGAAGUGGCAUGAAGGAUUCAGUGAAAAAGCUUCAUUGCAUUAAAAAAAAGUCUGUAUUUUUAGGCUGGGCACAGUGGCUCAU